This 75-nucleotide non-coding RNA is filed under the name Eutreptiella gymnastica. Lineage: Eukaryota; Euglenozoa; Euglenophyceae; Eutreptiales; Eutreptiaceae. The record is from RNAcentral.
CCCAAAGCGGCGGCGGUUGGAACCCGAGGACGAUGGCGCCCCAGGCCCCUUCGAGGACCUGGGGCCCUUCGCGGA